GACGAACGCUGGCGGCGUGCUUAACACAUGCAAGUCGAACGGUGAAGCGCCUUCCUUUUUGGUGGGUGUGGAUGAGUGGCGAACGGGUGAGUAACACGUGAGUAACCUGCCCCCUUCUUCUGGAUAACCGCAUGAAAGCGUGGCUAAUACGGGAUAUUCUGGGUCUGUCGCAUGAUGGGUCUGUGAAAGAUAUUGUUUCGGUGGGGGAUGGGCUCGCGGCCUAUCAGCUUGUUGGUGGGGUGAUGGCCUACCAAGGCGGUGACGGGUAGCCGGCCUGAGAGGGUGGACGGUCACACUGGGACUGAGACACGGCCCAGACUCCUACGGGAGGCAGCAGUGGGGAAUAUUGCACAAUGGGCGCAAGCCUGAUGCAGCGACGCCGCGUGAGGGAUGGAGGCCUUCGGGUUGUGAACCUCUUUCGCCAGUGAAGCAGGCCUGCCUCGUUUGUGGGUGGGUUGACGGUAGCUGGAUAAGAAGCGCCGGCUAACUACGUG
Molecule: ribosomal RNA, 494 nt
Filed under: uncultured bacterium
Lineage: Bacteria
Description: partial 16S ribosomal RNA
Rfam family: Bacterial small subunit ribosomal RNA
Source: RNAcentral